Molecule: long non-coding RNA, 607 nt
Organism: Daktulosphaira vitifoliae (grape phylloxera)
Lineage: Eukaryota; Metazoa; Arthropoda; Insecta; Hemiptera; Phylloxeridae
Exons: 4
Source: RefSeq, a predicted model, not a curated record
UUCAGAUUUUACUUUUGUAAACGGAAGAUUUUAUCUUUUCUGUUUAUAUCAUUUAAAACUAUUUUUAAUUCGUUCUGUUUAGCUAAAACAAGUGAGACAUAAUGACAAUGAUUUCGGAAGUAAUGGCUUACAAGGAAAGAAUUCAAUUAAUAAUGUUUAUUUUACUACAAACGCAACCAGAAAAUUUGAUUCCGAUGGCUUAGUAUUACCGAGGAAACUUUCAUUUCCUUGUGAAUCACAAUUUAAAGAAAUCCAUGGAGAGUUAUUGUCGAAAAAGCCGAAGCUAUUUUGUGAUAAAAAUAUGUACCCUGCUAUCAAUAAGCCACACAAAAAAUCAGGAAUCGAAAGACCUUAUACGACUCGUAAUAUAGCUACACAAUUGGAAGAACAUAUUGGAAAACUUCGGAAAACUACUAACUAUACAAGGUAUGGACAAGAAAAAAUAAACGGCGAUACUAAAUCUGAACUAGCAUUGGUGUACGAGAGAAUUUGUAUGAAAGAUCGACGUUUAUAAUUUUUUUAUUUGCUUAAUUUUAUUUUAAAUUAACUUAGAAUAAAAUAUAAUGUACAUUUUUGAUAUUGUUGUUUUAUGGAGUUUCAUAAUAAU